GACGAACGCUGGCGGCGUGCUUAACACAUGCAAGUCGAACGGAAAGGCCCUGCUUUUGUGGGGUGCUCGAGUGGCGAACGGGUGAGUAACACGUGAGUAACCUGCCCUUGACUUUGGGAUAACUUCAGGAAACUGGGGCUAAUACGGGAUAGGAGCUCCUGCUGCAUGGUGGGGGUUGGAAAGUUUCGGCGGUUGGGGAUGGACUCGCGGCUUAUCAGCUUGUUGGUGGGGUAGUGGCUUACCAAGGCUUUGACGGGUAGCCGGCCUGAGAGGGUGACCGGCCACAUUGGGACUGAGAUACGGUCCAGACUCCUACGGGAGGCAGCAGUGGGGAAUAUUGCACAAUGGGCGGAAGCCUGAUGCAGCAACGCCGCGUGCGGGAUGACGGCCUUCGGGUUGUAAACCGCUUUCGCCUGUGACGAAGCGUGAGUGACGGUAAUGGGUAAAGAAGCACCGGCUAACUACGUG
Molecule: ribosomal RNA, 468 nt
Filed under: uncultured bacterium
Lineage: Bacteria
Description: partial 16S ribosomal RNA
Rfam family: Bacterial small subunit ribosomal RNA
Source: RNAcentral